CGUUUUUUCUUCCUGAUCUUGAGAGGGGGAAUAAUAUUUUGUGUGGUCCCCAUAAUUUUUCUUCAUAUAGUGAUACAGAUAGAAAAAGAGACCCUAGAUCAUUAUCAGCCGUUGCUAGUAGAAAAGAAAGAAAAAGGUCGCGAGCUAAAGUCCUAGAGAGCUAAGCCGCCAUUGACAGCAUAACCAAGCUGCCUAAACCUUCCAAAACUCCAUUAAAAGCACCUCUUGAAAACUCUAUUUUUCAUAGCCAUGUGAACCAUUACUAAACAGUCCGUAGCCAUUUGUUAAACCAACACCAUUCCUUCACUCAUAUACCUUUAUAUUUUGGAGGCGUCGCAAGUUUCGUUCGAAUUCUCCGGUCGGUGGUGGUCGUCAGAGGUUACCGGCGAGUUUUCGGUGCUCCGGUCGAAUUCAGUUAGCGGUCUUACAUUGAGCUCUGUUUGUCGGGUUCCAUUUUCGGAAUAGAAGUUGUAGCUGUCUGUGAAUCAAUUGAGCCAGGGGCGGAUGCAGUCAAGGACACCCUCGGCAAAAAAUUACAGUGUAUAUUUAAAGUCAAUUUUAUGUGUUCACGUACAUAUAUUGACUUUUGAACACCCUGAAUAAAUGCAAAAAUUGGUUCAUUUGUUUUUUCGAACACCCUGAUUGAAAAUUCUGGAUCCGCCACUAAAUUGAGCUGCUUUUAAUACAAAAAUCUUGACUCGUGAAAAAGCUGCUAUGGCUAAUCGUUCGCUAGUACAACUUACCGACAAGGAGAAACAUCUUGAAAUUGGAGCUUGUCUUUCAGGAACUAUAUAUAAAGGAGUGUGCAGAGGAAUCUUGACCGGAUUUGGUAUCAAGAAAGAUGUGACUGUGUUCAUAUUUCAAAACAAGAAUGUUGCCAAAGGCUUUGUCCAACAACUUGAAGAUACAAAAAUAAAAGUAAAAGCAAUAGGAAAAGAUUGCUCAUUCCUUGCUUGUGUCCACUUCAUUAAAGCAUUUAUCAAAACAGAAGGAAAAAGGGCAAAAAAAAAAAAAAGGAUAUUAUGGUAUUACUAAACCAUUAUCCAAGUUUGAUGCUAAUGGAUUGAAGAUCUUAUUCAAUCACAAAGGUAAACAUUCCUGGCACGAAGAAUCAGAAACUACUCUUAGGUUGGUUGAGGGCCCAAAAGACCUUUUUAGGGAAGUUGGCAAAGCAAUAUAUGCUUUGAACAAAGCUGGUCUUUUUAGCAAUAAAAUUAUGUUUGGAGACGAUGCUAUUCAUAAUCCUAAUGACAACUAUCCAGGUAUUUGGUUUGAGAGUGACCUAAGACUUAGGCUCUCCAAUUUCAAGUGUUUCAGUGAUGAAGAGCGUUGCAAAAUUGCGAAAAAAAAGAUUGGAUUGACAGGGGCUUGAAAGAAGAUGUUCUUCAAUACACUGAAACACUAUGUUUCAAGUGUUAUUUGAUAUAAACUACUUCAUUUGUAAAGUUUCACAAGAUUGUUGAUAUUUAGGUUUAAUUUUUUACGUCAGAUCUAUUUCUAUAAAACAAUACACAUAAAUAAGUGUAGUUGUCACA
Long non-coding RNA from Lycium barbarum (goji berry), 1535 nucleotides. RefSeq lists it as uncharacterized. The transcript is spliced from 3 exons. The record is from RefSeq and is a predicted model, not a curated record. Lineage: Eukaryota; Viridiplantae; Streptophyta; Magnoliopsida; Solanales; Solanaceae.